Carassius gibelio (silver crucian carp) is the source of this 1279-nucleotide long non-coding RNA. RefSeq lists it as uncharacterized. The record is from RefSeq and is a predicted model, not a curated record. The transcript has 3 exons. Lineage: Eukaryota; Metazoa; Chordata; Actinopteri; Cypriniformes; Cyprinidae.
GUAAAUGUUUGUAGUGAUUAUGCAAGAUUGUCUCAUGUAUACAUAUAACUGUUAUUGAUUCUUAGCAAACAUUUCAAUCAAGAAACGAGUGCACGACCAAGUGAUGUUAACAAGGCGACUGCAUGAGGAAACAAGAGUUUUGGUUUUGGAGAUGGCACAACACUGCACAUGGUUGCAGAGCUUGGCAAUGGUUCUCAAGAACAAGUUGGCUGAAGAGGACCAGGGAAAUGAGGGAUUUUGCUGUCUCUUAAGAAGAAGACUGUCAGAGGUGUCAGAAAGGUUCCAAAUGGUCCUCCAACAGUACAAGACUGCCUUAGGUCCUGAGGCCUCUGUCCUUCUACAUGUUGAAGAGGAAGAUCAAAGUGACCUCAGUAGUCCAGACACCAGUGAGGAUGAAGAGGAAAACACAAUUUAGAUGGAAGCUGCACGAAGGACUAUGUGGAAGGAAAUGGACUUGCCCUAUAUCUGUGUAUUUUUAGAAUGCUGAUUAAUUAACCACAUCAAAAUCUUGUUGAAAAUUCAAACUGUGUCUUUAGAUUUUCCAAGCAAUUUAGUAAGCACAUUGCAGAGUUCAUUGAAAAUGCACAAACAUCUCAUUAUAGGGCCACCAAUCUUAGCCAAAAAUGUCAACUUUGCAUGUAUGAUAUUACCAGAUGUAAUUACUGUGCUCAUGAUAUUUGGGUAGUGUACACUCUUCUAAAAGAGAGACUCCCCUUGAUUGUGGUGACCCUGUAACCUUUCCUUUUGCACCAACGUUGCCACCAACGUUGCCAAACUCUUGACCUGCACACAACAAAUGUUAUGAACCGAUUUCUGUAAUUUUCUGAGCAAUGAAUCACGUCAUGUUGACCUUAUGACAUUCCCUGUAGCACAAUCAUUAGACCAGAAUGUAAAAUUGAAUAUUGUCUAAUUGGGUAGAUUGCCAUGAAAUCUUGUAAGCACAUGAUGACUUUGGUGACCUCAUGACAAUUCCUCUAUCAUCACAUUUAGGCCUUAAUGUAAAAACUCAUUCUUGAUUGCAUUUCUCAAUAUUCACUUAUUCUGUGGUGCCGUGUCAGUCUAUGACAUUUUGUUUUUCCCCAGAGGAGGCUGCCUAUGGAUCACUACUUGAUUGAGUGUAUUAUAUAACUGUUGUGUUACUUUAUAUUACUGCAAAGAUGCAUUAUAGUAUGUAACAGAAAAAUACAGUUUUUUAUUUUACGAUUAUACUUUAUAUUGUAUAUUAUUACAGUUGACAGAUGACUUAAUUCUUUUUUCUGCUGGAGCUUUUCAAGUGAAC